This 529-nucleotide ribosomal RNA is filed under the name uncultured Actinomycetes bacterium. RNAcentral's name for it is "bacterial LSU rRNA". It matches the Rfam family "Bacterial large subunit ribosomal RNA", at positions 140 to 629 of the family's 2925-position model. Lineage: Bacteria; Bacillati; Actinomycetota; Actinomycetes. The record is from RNAcentral.
UCGCCCCGCCCUUGGAAGUGAACCAUCUCAGUACCCGUACCCGCCCUUGGAAGUGAACCAUCUCAGUACCCGUAGGAAGAGAAAACAAAUAGUGAUUCCGUGAGUAGUGGCGAGCGAAAGCGGAUUGAGGCUAAACCGGUUGCGUGUGAUACCUGUCAGGGGUUGCGUGGUCGGGGUUGUGGGACCCUGCUGAGUGUGCUGACACGCACUCGAGAAGUUACAAAGCCAGUUGCUAGUCGAACAGUCUGGAAUGGCUGACCGUAGACGGUGAUAGUCCGGUAGGUGAAAGCAGCUGGUCUUCUGUGGGUGUUCCCGAGUAGCGGCGGACCCCUGAAAUCUGCCGUGAAUCUGCCAGGACCACCUGGUAAGCCUAAAUACUUCCUGGUGACCGAUAGCGGACGAGUACCGUGAGGGAAUGGUGAAAAGUACCCCGGGAGGGGAGUGAAAUAGUACCUGAAACCGUUCGCCUACAAUCCGUCGGAGCCUUGCGGGGUGACGGCGUGCCUUUUGAAUAANGAGCCGGCUAGUU